UCAAAUUGCCAUUACCUCUUUGAGUUGUUUUCACACGUGAGAAAUUAUCACUCUUGACAAAGUCUUCUUUCCCGAUAUUGUUUCUCUCCCUUCUCCAAUUUUCUCCAUUAUUGAAUUCAUCAUGAUUAGUGUUUAAUAACACUAUUUGCUUAUAAUAAUUCCCGACGAAUCUAAUUUUUAAUAAUCUUCGAACUUGUGGAGUAUGGAAGAUCCUGGAGACAACGAAGCCUACGAGGAGGAGCUCUUGACUACAAGGAGCUCUUGACUACAAGGAAGAGGACGAGAAAGCCCCAGAUUCUGCAACUAAGUUAAAGGCGAAGCAGUGAAGGAAGGCUACGUGGGGAUAAACAGUUCAGGAUUCAGCCGGAGCUUCUCCGAGCUAUUGUUGACUCUGGAUUUGAACAUCCAUCCGAAGGCAAGUUCAUUUUACUCUGGCCCUUUGUUUCUUCUUGACUUGUUUUGUUACCCUUGCACACAACGAGCUUUAUGAUUUGGUGGGCACUCUACUUUUGGCCAUUGGUUGUUCAAAUUGAAUUGUCUUAGUGAGUUGUAACGAAGAUUUUCUGGCCAGAUUAAGAUAUAUUUUUUUCUGUUAUAA
This is a long non-coding RNA of Raphanus sativus (radish), 598 nucleotides long. RefSeq lists it as uncharacterized. NCBI's taxonomy places the organism in Eukaryota, Viridiplantae, Streptophyta, Magnoliopsida, Brassicales, Brassicaceae. The record is from RefSeq and is a predicted model, not a curated record. The transcript has 2 exons.